RNAcentral lists this long non-coding RNA (1173 nucleotides) under Homo sapiens (human). RNAcentral describes it as "long non-coding RNA NONHSAT160123.1". The record is from RNAcentral. Lineage: Eukaryota; Metazoa; Chordata; Mammalia; Primates; Hominidae.
CAACUGGGGCUUGGUCACACAGAGGAUAUCCCAUAUUUUACCCCCUGCAAAUCCCUCUUUGGCUGUCCCAUCCAACAGGUGGCCUGUGGCUGGGAUUUUACGAUUAUGCUCACAGAAAAUGGUCAAGUUCUAUCAUGUGGAUCCAACUCCUUUGGCCAGUUAGGAGUUCCUCAUGGACCUCGAAGAUGUGUGGUUCCCCAGGCCAUUGAGCUCCAUAAAGAGAAGGUUGUUUGUAUUGCUGCUGGACUGAGGCAUGCAGUAGCUGCUACAGCGAGUGGCAUCGUGUUCCAGUGGGGGACUGGUUUGGCAUCAUGUGGACGACGGUUGUGCCCUGGGCAGACUCUUCCAUUGUUUUUCACAGCAAAGGAACCAAGCAGAGUGACAGGUCUAGAGAAUUCUAAAGCAAUGUGUGUUCUUGCUGGCUCAGACCACUCAGCUUCAUUAACAGAUGCAGGAGAGGUGUAUGUUUGGGGAAGCAACAAGCAUGGGCAACUGGCUAAUGAGGCUGCUUUCCUUCCUGUGCCCCAGAAAAUAGAAGCACAUUGUUUCCAGAAUGAAAAGGUCACUGCCAUCUGGAGUGGAUGGACACACCUGGUUGCUCAGACAGAAACUGGCAAGAUGUUUACCUGGGGCCGAGCAGACUAUGGUCAGCUAGGGAGGAAGUUGGAGACUUAUGAAGGCUGGAAACUAGAAAAGCAAGAUUCAUUUCUCCCCUGUUCAAGACCACCGAACAGCAUGCCUUCGUCUCCGCAUUGCUUAACUGGAGCAACUGAGGUCUCUUGUGGCUCAGAGCAUAAUUUGGCAAUAAUUGGUGGAGUGUGUUACUCUUGGGGCUGGAAUGAGCAUGGCAUGUGCGGAGAUGGCACUGAAGCCAACGUCUGGGCCCCAAAGCCGGUGCAGGCUCUGCUGUCAUCGUCAGGACUCCUUGUGGGCUGUGGGGCUGGCCACUCCUUGGCCCUCUGCCAGCUGCCAGCUCACCCUGCAUUGGUCCAGGACCCCAAGGUCACCUACCUUUCCCCAGAUGCCAUCGAGGACACUGAAUCUCAGAAAGCCAUGGACAAAGAGAGAAACUGGAAGGAAAGACAAUCAGAAACUUCAACCCAAAGCCAAUCUGACUGGUCCAGAAAUGGGGGACUGUGAUAGAGAAUCUUUAAUAAAGUGGCUUUUCCCACC